UCUAGAUAAUAAAGUGCUCACACAGGGUGAAUCUCCGGGCUGGAUCUUCAUCAGAGGCUUUUGUGGAGGUAUCAGUGACCAGGUGACCAAGGGGUGACCAAUGGGACCCAACCACUCUGCACUCUCUUAGUCUUUGCUGAGGUCCAGUCAAGUCGUGCCUAAGUGAGUGUCCAGAAUAUUGGAGGCCUCAAGUCCAGUCUGCAGCCACAAGCUACAAACCUGCAAAUGUUAAGUGAUCCACAUGGCGGUCUUAUCUGGACGGAGAAGAAAAGGAAAGAGUACGCCGCUGAUCACAAAAUACGUAAUUUGAUAUGGACCAUGCUGGUAUAACGCUGGGGACGCACGACGGAGGCCUGCAGCAGCGCGGACCCGACUCAGUUUUUCUUCUCUUUUCUACUUUUGAUAUGCGUCCAACCUAUCCACCAUCAUAAAGACCUUCAUAUCAACCAGAACCUGUGCCAAGCCUAACAUGGUUGUGUGGUGGCCCAAUACGGGAGGUGUUACCCCGUGCUCCUGCUGUCCUGUCAGGCAGCCUCCUUCAGUGUCCCCAACGCCCCCUGCACUUGUUUCCCCAUUGUUAAUAUGUUUUACCAUGUAAAGUGUUAUAAAAUGUAAUGUUGCUUUAAGAAUUAUACCAUGUGAUAUGUCAUGUGAUUGUUACCCAGGAGGUACCAGUGACCAGGUGACCCCAAGAGUGACCUAUGGGCUCCCUGCUAGUCUCCCCCAUAUAAGCCCUGGGUGGAGCUUCUCUCUCUUUGAUCUCUGCUCUUCUGCUAAGCUGAGGUCCAGUGCAGUCUUGUCUAGUGUGUGUGUCCAGAGUGUUGGAGGCCUCAAAGUCCAGUCCUGCAGCCACCAUCAAGUCAAGUAAGAUAAAGUCACAGCUUUAUGAGUCAAGUCAAGUCAGUCCCUGUCUUCUGUCAAGUCAGCGUGGUCUGCAUUCAAUUGUCCAGUCCUCCUACAAGUUCCAGCAAGCCCUUAAGGUCUCUGUGUCACUGAUCACCAUCUUGGGCCCUGGCUGAACUGUAUAGACUUUUCCACCUGUCUAACUUCAGUAAAGCUACCG
Long non-coding RNA from Hyla sarda, 1063 nucleotides. RefSeq lists it as uncharacterized. The record is from RefSeq and is a predicted model, not a curated record. NCBI's taxonomy places the organism in Eukaryota, Metazoa, Chordata, Amphibia, Anura, Hylidae. The transcript has 5 exons.